This is a long non-coding RNA of Olea europaea var. sylvestris, 582 nucleotides long. RefSeq lists it as uncharacterized. The transcript is spliced from 2 exons. Lineage: Eukaryota; Viridiplantae; Streptophyta; Magnoliopsida; Lamiales; Oleaceae. The record is from RefSeq and is a predicted model, not a curated record.
UUGGGUUUCACAGAGAUUUUACAGGAUUUUGAAUUUGGCGACGUGGCAGCUCAUUAAAUCAACCAAAAGAAAGAUCAAAAAAGAAAUAGAAAAGUGAGGGAAAAGAGGGAGGGAAAAAGAACCAUUUGUUCAACCCGUGUAUAACUCCCCCAAAUUGGAGAACCCAUUUUGCACGGGAACAACUCCAGCGUUUUCCGGUGGAAAUUGCAAAAACAAUGUGUUUUGUCUCAUUUAUCACAUUUUGCCCGACCAUAUACCUUCAACUUCCGGUGUUGGAGAGGCAUGAAAAUUCUCCAUCCCAACGGUUUAUUCCUGCUACAAUCACCAUGCCCGGCCAUAGCUUACACCUCCAGUGUUUUCUCAUCUGAGCCACACUGUGCAUUUUUGCCAGCGAAGAUCAUACGGAGUCCCGGCCAUAUUCUCCACCUCGGUGUUUGCCCACUAUCUGCUGCUUUGGGAGAUCUGUAUUUGCAAGGAUUAGUGUUGUGCAUUUUUCAACUAUGCAAUUCAACGGUGGCUAUUAAUUAAUCCACUAAUGUGUAAGAAUUUUUUUUCCCCAGAAUAAACCUUAGAAAAUCCUCA